RNAcentral lists this long non-coding RNA (244 nucleotides) under Actinidia chinensis (golden kiwifruit). RNAcentral describes it as "long non-coding RNA (ACHI_LNC006487)". The record is from RNAcentral. Lineage: Eukaryota; Viridiplantae; Streptophyta; Magnoliopsida; Ericales; Actinidiaceae.
UAUAAUAUUAUCAAUGAUGCCUUGUGGGCUACACAUUUUCAACUCACUCUUUUUGUCCCCUCCACUCUCUGUAUUUUAUUUUUUAUUUUUUAAAAAAUCUAAUUGGAAAUUUGCAGUUUUUUUUUGUCUUCUUUUCUAAAAGCAAAAGAAUGAAAUUGAAACGCGGUACAAAGCAAACAGAAACGAAUCAGGGCUUCAAGGCAAGCGCUCCCUCUUCUUAUUUUUCAAUUUCAAAGGCCUUGAG